Onychostoma macrolepis is the source of this 297-nucleotide long non-coding RNA. RefSeq lists it as uncharacterized. Lineage: Eukaryota; Metazoa; Chordata; Actinopteri; Cypriniformes; Cyprinidae. The record is from RefSeq and is a predicted model, not a curated record. The transcript is spliced from 3 exons.
AAAAAAAACAGGACCACCUCUCAUUUACAGGAUGAAGCAUAUAUGUUGCUAGAAAAAUUGCAGGACCUGGGAAUAAGGGCUGUUGCAUUGCUGUCAAAGCCCGGAAGAAGGCCAAAUUAAUGGGUGUCUGAGGUUUUGGCACCCAGUUGUGAGCUGACAGAGACAUCACAUAAAUGCCUAGAAAGAAUUAAGGACCUGUAUGAUAUUGUUAUUCAAGAAUGCUCACACACACUGACAGGGAGCCAGGAUUUUUACCCUAUGAAGAGGGUUGCCAAAUGCAGAGUUAUUAAGGUGAAA